GACGAACGCUGGCGGCGUGCUUAACACAUGCAAGUCGAACGAUGAAGCCGGAGCUUGCUCUGGUGAAUUAGUGGCGAACGGGUGAGUAACACGUGAGUAACCUGCCCUUGACUCUGGGAUAACUGCGGGAAACUGUAGCUAAUACCGGAUACGACCCUCGGAGGCAUCUCCUGGGGGUGGAAAGAAUUUCGGUCAAGGAUGGACUCGCGGCCUAUCAGCUAGUUGGUGAGGUAAAGGCUCACCAAGGCGACGACGGGUAGCCGGCCUGAGAGGGUGACCGGCCAAACUGGGACUGAGACACGGCCCAGACUCCUACGGGAGGCAGCAGUGGGGAAUAUUGCACAAUGGGCGCGAGCCUGAUGCAGCAACGCCGCGUGAGGGAUGACGGCCUUCGGGUUGUAAACCUCUUUUAGCAGGGAAGAAGCGAAAGUGACGGUACCUGCAGAAAAAGCACCGGCUAACUACGUGCCAGCCGCCGCAGUAA
RNAcentral lists this ribosomal RNA (484 nucleotides) under uncultured bacterium. Its description in RNAcentral is "partial 16S ribosomal RNA". It matches the Rfam family "Bacterial small subunit ribosomal RNA", at positions 28 to 523 of the family's 1533-position model. The record is from RNAcentral.